Molecule: ribosomal RNA, 1180 nt
Filed under: Deltaproteobacteria bacterium
Lineage: Bacteria; Pseudomonadati; Myxococcota; Myxococcia
Description: partial 23S ribosomal RNA
Rfam family: Bacterial large subunit ribosomal RNA
Source: RNAcentral
AAUUAAGUUACUAAGAGCACACGGUGGAUGCCUUGGCGUCAAGGGCCGAUGAAGGGCGUGGAAAGCUGCGAUAAGCUCCGGGGAGCUGCCUCAAGCACUAGAUCCGGAGAUACCCGAAUGGGGAAACCCACCCAGGGGAAUGCCUGGGUACCCCUGGCUGAACAAAAUAGGCCAGGUGGAGGGAACCGGGGGAACUGAAACAUCUUAGUACCCCGAGGAAAAGAGAUCAUUCCCUGAGUAGUGGCGAGCGAAAGGGGAAGAGCCCAAACUUGCGCAACUCAGUGGUCCAGUGCCUAUGUUGCGCGGGGGUUGUAAGGCCCAGCUGGGUGAACUGGUAAGCCCAAGGAGUUACAAAUCUGGUCUGUAGUCGAAGUGUCUGGGAAGGCAUGGCAUAGAGGGUGAUACCCCCGUAGGCGAAACGGAUCCAGACUCCUGCUGGUGACCUUGAGUACCACCGGGCACGCUAAUCCGGUGGGAAGCUGGGAGGUCCACCUCCCAAGGCUAAAUACACUUGGCGACCGAUAGUGAACAAGUACCGUGAGGGAAAGGUGAAAAGAACCCUUGUUAAGGGAGUUAAAAGAACCUGAAACCGUGUGCUUACAAGCAGUCGAAGGACUAUGCCAGGUCCGAGUCUUGCCUUCGGGCGAGCCGCUGGAAGGUCUGACGGCGUGCCUUUUGGAGAAUGAGCCGGCGAGUUACUCUCUGUGGCGAGGUUAAGGGAGGUACACCCGGAGCCGCAGCGAAAGCGAGUCUGAAUAGGGCGAAUUGGUCGCAGGGAGUAGACACGAAACCAGGUGAGCUACCCAUNNAGCGAAGCUAACCCUUCGUGGAGGGCCGAACCCGUUACAGUUGCAAAUGCAUGGGAUGAGCUGUGGGUAGAGGUGAAAUGCCAAACGAACUCGGAGAUAGCUGGUUCUCCCCGAAAUAGCUUUAGGGCUAGCGUCACGCGUUUAGUGCCGGAGGUAGAGCACUGGAUCGGCUAGGGGGCCUCACAGCUUACCAAACCGUACCAAACUCCGAAUGCCGGUACUUGAGAGCGUGGCAGUCGGACUACGGGAGAUGAGUUUCGUGGUCGAGAGGGAAACAGCCCAGAUCGCCAGCUAAGGUCCUCAAGUCUAGGCUAAGUGGGAAAGGAUGUGGGAUUACUGGGACAGCCAGGAGGUUGGCUUAGAAGCAGCCA